ACCACAUCUUCUUCAAUGAUGUCCCAGCAUGAUUGGUAGAAAGCUCCAGUGAAACCGUCUGGACCGCCUGCUGAAUCCCCAUUCAACCCCAUUACUGCUUUCUUCACUUCCUCAUUCGAAGGUAAGGCCAUCAAUCUCUCAUGUUGACCAGGAUCUAUCAUUGGAGGUACAUGUUUUAAAAUAUCAAAAUCAUUGGGAAAAGACCUCUCAGAAAAUAAAUCCUUGUAAAAUUUACAACUUCCUCUGCUAUUUUGUGAUCUUCUUCAAUCCAAUUACCAUCACUAUCCUGGAUUCUUGAUAACUUUAGUCUUUUCCUUCUCCCAUUAACCUGGGCAUGAAAAAAUUUUGUGUUUCUAUCACCAUCUUUAAACCACAAC
Molecule: long non-coding RNA, 377 nt
Filed under: Nicotiana benthamiana
Lineage: Eukaryota; Viridiplantae; Streptophyta; Magnoliopsida; Solanales; Solanaceae
Description: long non-coding RNA (NBEN_LNC020750)
Source: RNAcentral